UUCGUUUCUCGUUUUUUUUAUAUAGAUUAGACCGUUGGUUUUCCCGUUUGAAUGGUUUUACACUAGUUAUUUUGGAGGCCUUUAUAGCUUGUUGUUCGGUUUGAUCCAAGGCUCCGUGUUGAAAGCCGUACAUUGACCUAUAAUGGUUUACUUUUUUAAAUUGUUAUUUGGAUGGAGAGUUGUCUCAUUGGCAUUCACACCACAUCUUCCUAUACCUAUCUAUUUAUAUUUAUGAAAAGCUGUACAUUUUCCAAAACCUUGUUUAACGUAAGUAGCUGAUAACAGCACGAACAAUGAUAACUGAAUAAUUUACUUUUUUUCAAAUUUCUUUUCCAUAUUUUUUUCUACAAUUUCAAAAAGGUCAAUCUUAUUUUGCUACCAGAUGAUGUUUCAG
Molecule: long non-coding RNA, 394 nt
Filed under: Mytilus galloprovincialis (Mediterranean mussel)
Lineage: Eukaryota; Metazoa; Mollusca; Bivalvia; Mytilida; Mytilidae
Source: RNAcentral